RNAcentral lists this ribosomal RNA (460 nucleotides) under uncultured bacterium. RNAcentral's name for it is "partial 16S ribosomal RNA". It matches the Rfam family "Bacterial small subunit ribosomal RNA", at positions 338 to 795 of the family's 1533-position model. The record is from RNAcentral.
CCUACGGGUGGCAGCAGUGAGGAAUAUUGGUCAAUGGACGAGAGUCUGAACCAGCCAAGUAGCGUGAAUGAUGACUGCCCUAUGGGUUGUAAACUUCUUUUAUAUGGGAAUAAAACAAGGUAUGCAUACCCUCUUUUCUGUACCAUAUGAAUAAGGAUCGGCGAACUCCGUGCCAGCAGCCGCGGUAAUACGGAGGAUCCGAGCGUUAUCCGGAUUUAUUGGGUUUAACGGGAGCGUAGGUGGAUUUUUAAGUCAGUUGUGAAAGUUUGCGGCUCAACCGUAAAAUUGCAGUUGAAACUGGCAGUCUUGAGUACAGUAGAGGUGGGCGGAAUUCGUGUUGUAGCGGUGAAAUGCUUAGAUAUCACGAAGAACUCCGAUUGCGAAGGCAGCUCACUGGACUGCAACUGACACUGAUGCUCGAAAGUGUGGGUAUCAAACAGGAUUAGAUACCCGAGUAGGC